AAUGUGCUUUUUGAAAGUGGAGCCAAAUGUCCAAGAGGUAGACACUGAAAUGAUGAAAAUAAAGCACUAUUGAAAAGAUAUGAACUUCAAUAUUAAAACAGUUGGAGGAAGACCAUGGAGAUUCACAAUGUUGUACUGGGUCACUGAUACUCAUUUUUGUUUUCUUCAGGAGACCAGGAUACAUAACUUUCCAGGCACGGGCAGCAGUGAUGUCUUCUUUGUCCUCAGACUCAAUAUCAUUCUGAGACCACCUCAGCAAUCAGCUGCCAAUUAACAAUGAGCUGCAAGUGAUAAAGAAACCAGCAACUCACCGUGCAACUUGGACCCUUUUACUCCUGUGGCAAUGUUUUCGGCACCAGAAGUAAUCCUGGGUGUAGCGUGAACAGAUUCUCCACCAUUGCAUUAAAGCCUUCCUGGAGUGGAGGUGGAUAAGGAAGAACUGUUUGCAUCUGAAAAGCCUUUGUGAAGGUAUUUUGUUUACAAUAGACUAGGUGGCUU
Molecule: long non-coding RNA, 498 nt
Organism: Erpetoichthys calabaricus (reedfish)
Lineage: Eukaryota; Metazoa; Chordata; Cladistia; Polypteriformes; Polypteridae
Exons: 3
Source: RefSeq, a predicted model, not a curated record